ACGAACGCUGGCGGCGUGCUUAACACAUGCACGUCGAACGGAAAGGCCCUGCUUUUGUGGGGUGCUCGAGUGGCGAACGGGUGAGUAACACGUGAGUAACCUGCCCUUGACUUUGGGAUAACUUCAGGAAACUGGGGCUAAUACCGGAUAGGAGCUCCUGCUGCAUGGUGGGGGUUGGAAAGUUUCGGCGGUUGGGGAUGGACUCGCGGCUUAUCAGCUUGUUGGUGGGGUAGUGGCUUACCAAGGCUUUGACGGGUAGCCGGCCUGAGAGGGUGACCGGCCACAUUGGGACUGAGAUACGGCCCAGACUCCUACGGGAGGCAGCAGUGGGGAAUAUUGCACAAUGGGCGGAAGCCUGAUGCAGCAACGCCGCGUGCGGGAUGACGGCCUUCGGGUUGUAAACCGCUUUCGCCUGUGACGAAGGGUGAGUGACGGUAAUGGGUAAAGAAGCACCGGCUAACUACGUG
This 467-nucleotide ribosomal RNA is filed under the name uncultured bacterium. RNAcentral describes it as "partial 16S ribosomal RNA". It matches the Rfam family "Bacterial small subunit ribosomal RNA", at positions 29 to 507 of the family's 1533-position model. The record is from RNAcentral.